GGAAUUGACGGGACCGCACAAGCGGUGGAUGAUGUGGUUUAAUUCGAUGCAACGCGAAAACCUUACCCACCUUUGACAUGUACGGAAUCCUUUAGAGAUAGAGGAGUGCUCGAAAGAGAGCCGUAACACAGGUGCUGCAUGGCUGUCGUCAGCUCGUGUCGUGAGAUGUUGGGUUAAGUCCCGCAACGAGCGCAACCCUUGCCAUUAGUUGCUACGAAAGGGCACUCUAAUGGGACUGCCGGUGACAAACCGGAGGAAGGUGGGGAUGACGUCAAGUCCUCAUGGCCCUUAUAGGUGGGGCUACACACGUCAUACAAUGGCCGGUACAGAGGGUAGCCAACCCGCGAGGGGGAGCCAAUCCCACAAAGCCGGUCGUAGUCCGGAUCGCAGUCUGCAACUCGACUGCGUGAAGUCGGAAUCGCUAGUAAUCGCGGAUCAGCAUGUCGCGGUGAAUACGUUCCCGGGUCUU
This 469-nucleotide ribosomal RNA is filed under the name uncultured Comamonadaceae bacterium. RNAcentral's name for it is "bacterial SSU rRNA". It matches the Rfam family "Bacterial small subunit ribosomal RNA", at positions 906 to 1382 of the family's 1533-position model. The record is from RNAcentral. Lineage: Bacteria; Pseudomonadati; Pseudomonadota; Betaproteobacteria; Burkholderiales; Comamonadaceae.